CGAUGGUGCCAUCAGUGGACUAAAGUUGCACACCGUUACAUGCGGCGUUGAAGGAGGUCCCCGGGGUCCACAUGGUCAUCCUCACCUGCUGCACGCUUGCCUGGAGAAGGUCUCCCAAUCUUUCAACCAGCUCCGUGAAGGUGGGCCUCUCCUGCGGUUCCCCCUGCCAGCAGUCCAGCAUGGUCUGGUAUCUACAAGAAGACAGCACAUACGUUCUCAGCAUGGCUGGUGCCAAAGAACAUACAGCGUAUCAGACUACAUUGAAGGCGUCUUUAGAGAUAAUAUGAGCGCUGGAAGAGAAGCCUCUUUGACACGGGCGUCCCAGAAGAGUCCAUCCCCGAGCAUGGUGGGAUAUGCGUUCACACAGCCGCCGUCCCGCCUCACUAAAGUGUCCAACGUGUCGUCUUCUUCCAAGGCUGUCCCAUCAGCACGUCUAUAAAAGGCAGCCUUCCCCCGAUCCCAUCCUGGCCAUCUCCUCCUCCUUCUCACGCCACGUGUGUGUACUUGAGUACUUCACAUGACUCCUAAACCCUCCUGGGCCGCACGCGGGAUUUAUGAACUUCUGUUUUAAUAGUGAUAGGGGAUCAAACCAUCCGAGACUUUUAUCAGCAACAAACUGGAUGGAGAAUUUGAUUGGAGAUGAUGCUCCAAAUUAAAAGCAGACCGGCGGCCCGUUGGGAAAAGAGGACCUGUGGACGCAGACCCACUGGUGCCAGGACUCGCUCCUUCUUGAUGUAUGAGAGACCUGGGAGGAGGAGGGGGGGGGUCAAUGCUCACAUUUCAGAGGACGAGUAUUCCGGAGCUCUCAUCCUGGUGCCCUCCUUGAGUCUGCAGCAAAACUCCUCAUCGAUCUGGACGCCCGGAUACGGCGACGCACCUGAAGGGGGACAGCACCAUGAAACAGGGGUGUACAAACUGCACGUCGGUGGCCGUUUGGGCCCCCAUUACACGAAUAUUAAACAACAGCAAAAAUGAAAACAUCAGCGGAAUAAAAUGAAAAUAUUUACACAAAAAACUAAUCUAACAAAAAAUGUACAAGAAUAAUGUGGGAAUAUUAUGAAACACAAGACUACAUUUUUUGGAAAAUUAGGUUGGGGAUAAAUUUAGAGGUUCACAUAGUUGGAAUAAUAAUAA
This is a non-coding RNA of Doryrhamphus excisus (bluestripe pipefish), 1134 nucleotides long. The record is from RefSeq and is a predicted model, not a curated record. Lineage: Eukaryota; Metazoa; Chordata; Actinopteri; Syngnathiformes; Syngnathidae.